GACGAACGCUGGCGGCGUGCUUAACACAUGCAAGUCGAACGGAAAGGCCCUGCUUUUGUGGGGUGCUCGAGUGGCGAACGGGUGAGUAACACGUGAGUAACCUGCCCUUGACUUUGGGAUAACUUCAGGAAACUGGGGCUAAUACCGGAUAGGAGCUCCUGCUGCAUGGUGGGGGUUGGAAAGUUUCGGCGGUUGGGGAUGGACUCGCGGCUUAUCAGCUUGUUGGUGGGGUAGUGGCUUACCAAGGCUUUGACGGGUAGCCGGCCUGAGAGGGGGACCGGCCACAUUGGGACUGAGAUACGGCGCAGACUGCUACGGGAGGCAGCAGUGGGGAAUAUUGCACAAUGGGCGGAAGCCUGAUGCAGAAACGCCGCGUGCGGGAUGACGGCCUUCGGGUUGUAAACCGCUUUCGCCUGUGACGAAGCGUGAGUGACGGUAAUGGGUAAAGAAGCACCGGCUAACUACGUG
RNAcentral lists this ribosomal RNA (468 nucleotides) under uncultured bacterium. Its description in RNAcentral is "partial 16S ribosomal RNA". It matches the Rfam family "Bacterial small subunit ribosomal RNA", at positions 28 to 507 of the family's 1533-position model. The record is from RNAcentral.